This 766-nucleotide ribosomal RNA is filed under the name uncultured Rhodocyclales bacterium. RNAcentral describes it as "bacterial SSU rRNA". It matches the Rfam family "Bacterial small subunit ribosomal RNA", at positions 569 to 1333 of the family's 1533-position model. Lineage: Bacteria; Pseudomonadati; Pseudomonadota; Betaproteobacteria; Rhodocyclales. The record is from RNAcentral.
GCGCAGGCGGUUUCGUAAGACAGAUGUGAAAUCCCCGGGCUUAACCUGGGAACUGCAUUUGUGACUGCGAGACUAGAGUGUGGCAGAGGGGGGUAGAAUUCCACGUGUAGCAGUGAAAUGCGUAGAGAUGUGGAGGAAUACCGAUGGCGAAGGCAGCCCCCUGGGCCAACACUGACGCUCAUGCACGAAAGCGUGGGGAGCAAACAGGAUUAGAUACCCUGGUAGUCCACGCCCUAAACGAUGUCAACUAGUUGUUGGGGAAGGAGACUUCCUUAGUAACGCAGCUAACGCGUGAAGUUGACCGCCUGGGGAGUACGGUCGCAAGAUUAAAACUCAAAGGAAUUGACGGGGACCCGCACAAGCGGUGGAUUAUGUGGAUUAAUUCGAUGCAACGCGAAAAACCUUACCUACCCUUGACAUGCCAGGAACUUUCCAGAGAUGGAUUGGUGCCCGAAGGGGAACCUGGACACAGGUGCUGCAUGGCUGUCGCCAGCUCGUGUCGUGAGAUGUUGGGUUAAGUCCCGCAACGAGCGCAACCCUUGCCAUUAAUUGCCAUCAUUCAGUUGGGCACUUUAAUGGGACUGCCGGUGAUAAACCGGAGGAAGGUGGGGAUGACGUCAAGUCCUCAUGGCCCUUAUGGGUAGGGCUUCACACGUAAUACAAUGGUCGGUACAGAGGGUUGCCAACCCGCGAGGGGGAGCUAAUCCCAGAAAGCCGAUCGUAGUCCGGAUUGUUCUCUGCAACUCGAGAGCAUGAAGUCGGAAUC